GGCUUUAUAUUCAAUAAUGAUAUUAGACUGCAAUUCUAAAGGAGUAAAAAAUUUUACUAAGGCUU
RNAcentral lists this transfer RNA (65 nucleotides) under Diamesa sp. 3XL. RNAcentral describes it as "tRNA-Cys". The record is from RNAcentral. Lineage: Eukaryota; Metazoa; Arthropoda; Insecta; Diptera; Chironomidae.